RNAcentral lists this long non-coding RNA (292 nucleotides) under Gossypium barbadense (sea-island cotton). RNAcentral's name for it is "long non-coding RNA (GBAR_LNC012340)". Lineage: Eukaryota; Viridiplantae; Streptophyta; Magnoliopsida; Malvales; Malvaceae. The record is from RNAcentral.
GAAGAGUAAUAAAAUCCCUAGCCAUUUCUUUCACUGUCUUACUCGCUGGCAACUGCCACUGCAACCAGAGGGGCUUCAGGGAUUACCUCAGCUCAGUGGAAAGCGAAGGGUCAAAUCCUGGAGAAGGCGAAGGAAUGGAACUGCUUAUCUCGGAAAAUGAAGAGAAACUUAAUUGACUAGCUUGCCUAGGAUUAGGAUCCCUAUUUACCCAAGAGACUUAAAGGCUUGAAAGUAAAGAAACUGCGCUUGCCCUAGGAAAUCAAUACUUCACUAAACAUUAUAAAACUGCCUU